RNAcentral lists this ribosomal RNA (248 nucleotides) under Rhizotrochus typus. RNAcentral's name for it is "partial 28S ribosomal RNA". It matches the Rfam family "Eukaryotic large subunit ribosomal RNA", at positions 78 to 322 of the family's 3401-position model. Lineage: Eukaryota; Metazoa; Cnidaria; Anthozoa; Scleractinia; Flabellidae. The record is from RNAcentral.
CCCCAGUAACGGCGAGUGAAGCGGGAACGGCUCAAAUUUGAAAUCUCCGGCGCCUGCGCCGGCGAGUUGUAGUUGCGAGAAGCACUUUCUCGGCGGAUCGGACGCGCCCAAGUUGCUUGGAACAGUACGUCGCAGAGGGUGACAACCCCGUCCGCGGCGCGUCCGGCCGCCCACGAUGCGCUUUCGAAGAGUCGGGUUGUUUGGGAAUGCAGCCCAAAACGGGGGUAAACUCCAUCUAAAGCUAAAUA